RNAcentral lists this ribosomal RNA (579 nucleotides) under Triticum aestivum (bread wheat). RNAcentral's name for it is "partial small subunit ribosomal RNA". The record is from RNAcentral. Lineage: Eukaryota; Viridiplantae; Streptophyta; Magnoliopsida; Poales; Poaceae.
AUGCGGGGCCGUAGGCGUGUACGCGGCAUCGAGCCGACGCCUUCUCCGUCCUUGCCCCCACCACCGCUGCCGCCCAUGACCGAGGAGGAGGAGGCCCGCCUCAUUAGGCGGGUCAUGGAGGACUCAGUGUCCACCCAUGACGAGCGGCAAUGGGAUGGCAUGGAAACCGUGUUGGCCCUCUCUGUGGCCGGCGACUUGGCCAUCCCGGAGUUGGAACUCGACGUCAAGGAGGAGGUGCAGCAGGAGGAGGUUGUGGAGGAGCUGCCCGUCGCCGUGUGGAACCCACGUCUGGUGGGCCAGCAGUGGAGCUGGUCGUGCCCCGUGCCGGAGAUGGCCGACUCGGUGGGCGUAGGCCCAUGGUCAGCCACGUCGCCGCGGUCACCGUACCAGAGCAGGAGCAAGAGCCACGUGAGGAGGUGGUGCAGGCGCCGCUGGCGCAUCCGGUCUGGCAGGGGCCGCCGGCACAUCUUUGGCAGCCACCUCCCUACGUCGACCUCAUCAGUGACGACGACGAGUAGGACGGUGGCUCUUGAUGACGACGGCGCCCUCUGGAGACGGGUCUAUUUCAAGUUUUUUUAA